Molecule: long non-coding RNA, 335 nt
Organism: Pieris rapae (cabbage white)
Lineage: Eukaryota; Metazoa; Arthropoda; Insecta; Lepidoptera; Pieridae
Exons: 2
Source: RefSeq, a predicted model, not a curated record
AUGUCGUGCUAAGUGUCUUUUGGUGAAUGAAUAACUGCCUAGUCGUACCGCGAAUAAGAAUCUAAUUCCAGUUGCGACUUGUUCGUUUAUAGAAGCAGCAUAUAGUGACGUUACGUAACAGUGAAUUAUUUUGUAAUGGUUAAGUAUUGUUGAAUGAAGUAGAAAAUUACUCCGAAUUAUUUAGAUUUAAUGCAGUGUUGGUGAAUUUCCUGCUUCUGCUGUUUUGAUAGUAUUUCUAAAUAAUACUGUAUUGGUGACGAGGAUGAUGAAGGGUCGGGGUCUAUUGUUGCUUGAAAAGGCAUUGGAAGCAACGGCAAUCGAGGCUGCGUCAACCA